AAUUUCGUGGAGGCUCGAACCGUUUAGUGUUGAAAAACUAUCGGAUGACUUGUGGGUAGCGGUGAAAUUCCAAUCGAACCCGGAUAUAGCUGGUUCUCCUCGAAAUAGCUUUAGGGCUAGCCUCAAGAUAGUGACGUGGAGGUAGAGCACUGAAUGGUCUAGGGGCACUUAGUGCUACCAAAACCUAUCAAACUCCGAAUGCCACAGUCAUGUUUCUUGGGAGUCAGACUGCGGGAGAUAAGUUUCGUAGUCGAGAGGGAAAGAGCCCAGACCACCAACUAAGGUCCCUAAAUCCAGAUUAAGUGGGAAAGGAUGUAAAGUUACACAGACAACCAGGAUGUUGGCUUAGAAGCAGCCAUUCAUUUAAAGAGUGCGUAAUAGCUCACUGGUCGAGUGGCUUUGCGCCGAAGAUUUCCGGGGCUAAAAUCUGGUACCGAAGUUGUGGAUUCGUAAGAAUGGUAGAGGAGCAUUCUGUACGGGCUGAAGCUACACCGUAAGGAGUGGUGGACUGUACAGAAGAGAGAAUGCUGGCAUGAGUAGCGAUAAGGCGAGUGAGAAUCUCGCCCGUCGAAAGCCUAAGGUUUCCUGAGGAAGGCUCGUCCUCUCAGGGUUAGUCGGGACCUAAGCCCAGGCCAAAUGGCGUAGGCGAUGGACAACAGGUUGAGAUUCCUGUACUGUUUACAUGCGUUUGAGAGAUGGGGUGACGCAGGAGGAUAGGCUAUACGUACUGUUGGUUAUGUACGUCCAAUCCUGUAGAGAGCUCCUAUAGGCAAAUCCGUAGGAGAGUCUCAAGAGGUGAUGGGGAGCGAAAAAUAAGUAGUGAAGUAGCUGAAUCCAUACUGCCAAGAAAAGCCUCUAUCGAGUAUGUAAAUACCCGUACCGCAAACCAACACAGGUAGGCGAGGAGAAAAUCCUAAGACGUUCGGAAGAACCCUUGUUAAGGAACUAGGCAAAAUAACCCCGUAACUUCGGGAGAAGGGGUGCCGACUAAGGUGAAGCACUUGCUGCGUAAGCUUUAGUUGGCCGCAGUGAAUAGGCCCAAGCGACUGUUUACCAAAAACAUAGGUCUCUGCUAAGUCGAAAGACGAUGUAUAGGGGCUGACACCUGCCCGGUGCUGGAAGGUUAAGGGGAAGAGUUAGCGUAUGCGAAGCUCAGAACUUAAGCCCCAGUAAACGGCGGCCGUAACUAUAACGGUCCUAAGGUAGCG
This 1208-nucleotide ribosomal RNA is filed under the name Anaerosalibacter bizertensis. Its description in RNAcentral is "partial 23S ribosomal RNA". It matches the Rfam family "Bacterial large subunit ribosomal RNA", at positions 760 to 1961 of the family's 2925-position model. Lineage: Bacteria; Bacillati; Bacillota; Tissierellia; Tissierellales; Sporanaerobacteraceae. The record is from RNAcentral.